This 253-nucleotide ribosomal RNA is filed under the name uncultured bacterium. Its description in RNAcentral is "partial 16S ribosomal RNA". It matches the Rfam family "Bacterial small subunit ribosomal RNA", at positions 524 to 776 of the family's 1533-position model. The record is from RNAcentral.
UACAGAGGUCUCAAGCGUUGUUCGGAUUCAUUGGGCGUAAAGGGUGCGUAGGCGGCGCGGUAAGUCGGGUGUGAAAGCCCCGGGCUCAACCUGGGAACCGCGCUUGAGACUGGCAUGCUCGAGUUCGGGAGAGGAUGGUGGAAUUCCCAGUGUAGAGGUGAAAUUCGUAGAUAUUGGGAAGAACACCGAUGGCGAAGGCAGCCAUCUGGACCGACACUGACGCUGAGGCGCGAAAGCGUGGGGAGCAAACAGG